This 254-nucleotide ribosomal RNA is filed under the name uncultured bacterium. Its description in RNAcentral is "partial 16S ribosomal RNA". It matches the Rfam family "Bacterial small subunit ribosomal RNA", at positions 524 to 776 of the family's 1533-position model. The record is from RNAcentral.
UACGUAGGUGGCAAGCGUUGUCCGGAAUUAUUGGGCGUAAAGCGCGCGCAGGCGGUCUUUUAAGUCUGAUGUGAAAGCCCACGGCUCAACCGUGGAGGGUCAUUGGAAACUGGGGGACUUGAGUGCAGAAGAGGAAAGUGGAAUUCCAAGUGUAGCGGUGAAAUGCGUAGAGAUUUGGAGGAACACCAGUGGCGAAGGCGACUUUCUGGUCUGUAACUGACGCUGAGGCGCGAAAAGCGUGGGGAGCAAACAGG